RNAcentral lists this ribosomal RNA (254 nucleotides) under uncultured bacterium. RNAcentral describes it as "partial 16S ribosomal RNA". It matches the Rfam family "Bacterial small subunit ribosomal RNA", at positions 524 to 776 of the family's 1533-position model. The record is from RNAcentral.
UACGUAGGGUGCGAGCGUUGUCCGGAAUUAUUGGGCGUAAAGAGCUCGUAGGCGGACUGUCGCGUCGGUCGUGAAAACUUGGGGCUUAACCCUGAGCUUGCGGUCGAUACGGGCACGACUGGAGUUCGGUAGGGGAGACUGGAAUUCCUGGUGUAGCGGUGAAAUGCGCAGAUAUCAGGAGGAACACCGGUGGCGAAGGCGGGUCUCUGGGCCGAUACUGACGCUGAGGAGCGAAAGCGUGGGGAGCGAACAGG